Molecule: ribosomal RNA, 228 nt
Filed under: uncultured bacterium
Lineage: Bacteria
Description: partial 16S ribosomal RNA
Rfam family: Bacterial small subunit ribosomal RNA
Source: RNAcentral
UCCGUAGGCGGGUCAUUAAGUCAGAGGUGAAAUCCCACAGCUUAACUGUGGAACUGCCUUAGAUACUGGUUAUCUUGAGUUUUAGUGAAGUAGAUAGAAUGUGUAGUGUAGCGGUGAAAUGCAUAGAUAUUACACAGAAUACCGAUUGCGAAGGCAGUCUACUAACUAACAACUGACGCUAAUGGACGAAAGCGUGGGGAGCGAACAGGAUUAGAUACCCUGGUAGUC